GCACUGUUGAUGAGUCCCAAAUAGGACGAAACAACUGUCCAGUGC
Molecule: non-coding RNA, 45 nt
Filed under: Echinostoma caproni
Lineage: Eukaryota; Metazoa; Platyhelminthes; Trematoda; Plagiorchiida; Echinostomatidae
Source: RNAcentral